AGAAAUGGACGAGAUCGGCAUCCCUUUGGUUAACUGCUGUUGAAGGUGAUCUCAAUUUCAAGGCGCUUUCAUCCACAAAACUAAUGUUAUCAUUAGCAGGAUUUGUUCCCAAAUAUAGGAAAAGAUGAUUGUUGCCAAGUCCUACAUCACCAUAUUCCAUCACAUGAGAACCAUAGUAUGCACCAUUGAUAGUCCUAUCCUUAACCUGUAACCACAUGACCAAAUAAUGCAUCACUUACACAACUCCUAAAGUUUCUAAUGUGUAAUUCAGCAAUCAAGGUAUUGAAUUACAUUCUUAAAUUUAUAUUAGUUGAUUUAAAAUAAAUCAAAUCAAGUCAGUGACAAGAACUUACCAAUUUAUAUUGCUGCUGCAAACUUUCAGUUCGCAAAUUGUGUACGUCGCUGCUCAUAAGUGAAACAAAAAUCAAAUUAGUAACAAGAAAAUCUUAUGAUCUAGUGAUAAAUCAAAUGCAUCAAAUUAAUCUUAUUUCUGAUGUAACUUUGUCCUUCUAAUGCACAUACCUGUCUUCCAUCCAAGCAAUGCUGUAUAGGUCACCCAAGCAGGUUGAGUACUCCGGGGGAGGGGGAGGGUACUCGCCAGGGCAAUAUGUUCCCCAACUGCUUUCUUCUGCAUUCGAAGCUGUUGUCGCGUAGAUAUUGAUAUCUUCUGGUAGAAGGCCUUCAAAGAUACUCCCAGAUUCACAUGCCUCGAGAUAAAAUACCUGCACCACCAUUACAUAAAUAAAUAAAUAAAAAACUGAGGAUUAGCAUAGUUUGUUUAGCAAGAAAUAAACAAAUCCAAACAUGCUAGCCUUAAACAGGACAAACCGGGAUUUAAAUGAAAAGAACACGAAAUCGGCUAUUACUAAGGACUUACUAGGCUCUUAUAUCCUCCAGAAGCAUGCUUUUUCUUUAAGACUUCAUUCAGAUCAGAUGCAUACAGGUAAGGACCAACAGGCAUACCUGAAGAGACCAAAUAAGAACAAAACAAACACUUUGUCAAAAUCAUGCAAAUUAACAACACAAUUCAAUCAAACAAACGUUUCUGUGAAAAUAAUUCAAAAUUACUUACCAAGAACACCAGGACCUCCAUGAUCAGUGUAGUAUACAAAAAUAUGAUCAUUGGGGCCACUAUCCACAACUUUCCCACUCCCACCUGUAAGAGCUGAUUUAUUUCCAAGUAAAGCUGCAUAGAAGUUGUCAGCAUGUACUUCUGCACCAGUGUAAUCCUGUCAUAAAACAAGUUCUUAUUAGAAGAUAAUCAUACUAGUAUUGGUACAUGAUAUAGCAAUAGAUAUGGGAUGCCUAAAAACUCGGCACACUGACAUUCUAUGAAGCAUGGACACUCCUCGGAUUAUGCGUGUUGCGGUGUCUGACACCGACACUUAUAUGAUUACAUUGAAUUAUGUCAUUUUCUUAAAUUAUUAUCGGUGUCGACAUGUUAGUGUCCGGUGUUCGUGCUUUAUAGCUGAGACUACACAUGACACUGACACGUAAACACUAGUAAAAAUUUAAUAUUUAAUAAAUAAAAGUUAUUGAAUGUAACCACAUGGAUACUACAUGUGUCGGAUAUUAGACAUGUCUUCAAUCUGAAGCGUCUGUGCUACGAUUGCUAAAAACUAAACACCGACUAAUUUACCUUUGGAACUCCUUCAUAAACAUCACCACCAUCUGGCUUGUUAAUUAUGACACCAGGCCUUGGAUUCUCGUAAUUGGAAGCAAUGUCAUCAUACAUGAAAACAAUAAUGUUUUCAUCUUUUAAGCCACCUUUCUUCAAUAUUUGAUAUGCAUGGCAAACAUCAGCCUG
This 1807-nucleotide long non-coding RNA is filed under the name Trifolium pratense (red clover). RNAcentral describes it as "long non-coding RNA (TPRA_LNC008668)". The record is from RNAcentral. Lineage: Eukaryota; Viridiplantae; Streptophyta; Magnoliopsida; Fabales; Fabaceae.